This 1159-nucleotide long non-coding RNA is filed under the name Trifolium pratense (red clover). RNAcentral's name for it is "long non-coding RNA (TPRA_LNC003699)". The record is from RNAcentral. Lineage: Eukaryota; Viridiplantae; Streptophyta; Magnoliopsida; Fabales; Fabaceae.
UAAUCUUAUUAGUUGAUGAGUCUUUGAAAUGAUGUUGAUGAUAAUAAUAAUAUGGUAAUGGUAAUGAGACCCUCAGUGAAUGUGCAUUUGCUAUCUCUGCUAAUACCAGGAAAUUAAUUAAUAUAAAGCAUAUAACAUAGUUUUGGAAAAAUUAGACAUAGAAUUAUCUCAAAAAAAUAAAUCAAAGAAAUAUUAGAACAAAUAAAAAUAAAUAUGACUAGUAACAAAAUAAAAAUAGAACGAAUCUUAUUAGUCGAAUUUGACUGAGACGUGCAAAUGCACUGGGCUUAAGAGUAUUUCGCCACCACAGGUAAGUUACCCGGUGCAGUUGGUCUCAUAGCUAAUAUCCUCCAGCAUACAACAGUCACUUCUUGCUAGCACUGCACGUGAAUUAGCAAGGAACUUUUUUGGAUGCUCAAGGAAACUCUAUUUUAGUUUACUCACACCACUUUCUUUUUCUCUUAUUCACCUUUCCUAAAUCUACCCGAGCUCAAUCUUUCAUUGACUUAAUCCGCUUAAUAACUAUAUACAGUUGCUAAUCACUGUCAUAAGGCAAAACCAUGAUUUAUUUUUAUUUUUUUGUUUACAACAGAGCAAAGGAUCGAACUAAGGACUCAUGUAUACUAUACUACCCAAGUUCCUUAACACUGGACCAAACUUAGUGGCUUUAAUUCCUGUUUUAAUUGGGCAAAUGAAAUUGAAGCACAUUUAACAAAUGUGUAGUGUAACGGCAAAUAUGACCAAGUCAAGAUAGUAAACAAAUCAUCAUUAAUAUAAUAAUUAACUUUAAAAUAAAUUAUGAUAUGAAAAUAUCCAACACAUAGUACUUACUUACUAGUACUAAAAAGAAAGAUAGAUAAGGCUGGUUGCUUUUGUUAUGAGGAUGAUUAAACAAAACUCAAAUUCAGAAAUUGAGAGAGAGAAUUAAAGAAAUUUACCAAUCAAAGGCAUGGGGACUCAUUCAGCGAGAGGAACUUAGAAAAAGGAACAAGAAUCACAGAGCGGACGGAGGAAUGAAUGAAUCUUGUGAAUGGGAAGGGAAGGAGACGAAACAACAGAAACAAGAUAACGUUUCUUUGUUUCUUUCUUUUGAAUGAAUGAAGACUAGAAUUACUUUUGCCACUAUUACCGGCACUACAUUCGUGUUUCUCAUUUUACC